RNAcentral lists this ribosomal RNA (305 nucleotides) under uncultured bacterium. RNAcentral describes it as "bacterial SSU rRNA". It matches the Rfam family "Bacterial small subunit ribosomal RNA", at positions 334 to 631 of the family's 1533-position model. The record is from RNAcentral.
UGCUCUUACGGGAGGCAGCAGUAGGGAAUCUUCGGCAAUGGGCGAAAGCCUGACUGAGCAACGCCGCGUGAAUGAAGAGGGCCUUCGGGCUGUAAAAUUCUGUUAUAAGGGAAGAAAGGUGAUAGGAGGAAAUGACUAUCAAUUGGCGGUACCUUAUGAGAAAGCCACGGCUAACUACGUGCCAGCAGCCGCGGUAAUACGUAGGUGGCAAGCGUUAUCCGGAAUUAUUGGGCGUAAAGAGCGCGCAGGUGGUUAAUUAAGUCUGAUGUGAAAGCCCACGGCUUAACCGUGGAGGGUCAUUGGAA